UGCUUCUUAUUUGGGACAGGGACCCCUAGGCCUGUCCUCUAUCCAUGGAGCAACUCUGCUUCUUAUUUGGGACAGGGACCGUUGUGCUGAAGGGGAUGUCGGUGGUGAUUACGUAACCAUUUCAACAGACAGAGGUAUUUUUUAAGGCUCUGAUUGGCUGGCCUCCUUAGGAGUAGGAGACCGAAGAACAAUAAAUCCAGCGACAGCCCAGCAGCUGGGCCUGUCCAUCCCUGGGGUCGUGAUUUGCGUUGCGUGGAGCAAACGCCUGGGAAGAUGAAGACACUACUGAUUUUGAUAACUUUCCUGGUGCUAUACUUCGUGCUCUCGAUUGAAAUGCACGUCUACUUACAGAUGCCGUUCUACCUUAAUCAGGUAAUAGCCAAAGGCCUCCCUCCCAACAGUUGGAAUGGUGACUCACUGCACUUCUCUGGCCUCUUUCUGCCAUCAGGAGCCGCUUGGGCUUGGGAUCAAAAUAAAAUGUAUAUAACUGUUAUGAAAACGGAUUAUUCAAACUACGCCAUACUCCACGCCUUGAAGAAAAUAGGGCAAGAGAUGAUCCCUUCGGUGAUCUUUCUCAGUAAGUGAAAGGCUGAUGAACAAGAGAGUAGCUGUGCAGCACAGGGGGUGAGGAGGAGGGUGCAUGUGGCAACAGGAGCAGAGCCCACCCUGGAGGAGCCCCUGCCCCCAACCC
Molecule: long non-coding RNA, 691 nt
Filed under: Ornithorhynchus anatinus (platypus)
Lineage: Eukaryota; Metazoa; Chordata; Mammalia; Monotremata; Ornithorhynchidae
Description: lncRNA (ENSOANG00000043262.1)
Source: RNAcentral